UACAGAGGGGGCAAGCGUUGUUCGGAAUUACUGGGCGUAAAGGGCGCGUAGGCGGCCCGCUAAGUCGAACGUGAAAUCCCCGAGCUCAACUCGGGAACUGCGUCCGAUACUGGCGGGCUUGAAUCCGGGAGAGGGAUGCGGAAUUCCAGGUGUAGCGGUGAAAUGCGUAGAUAUCAGGAGGAACACCGGCGGCGAAGGCGGCACUCUGGGCCGGUACUGACGCUGAGGAGCGAAAGCGUGGGUAGCAAACAGG
Molecule: ribosomal RNA, 253 nt
Filed under: uncultured bacterium
Lineage: Bacteria
Description: partial 16S ribosomal RNA
Rfam family: Bacterial small subunit ribosomal RNA
Source: RNAcentral